UGGGGUAUAGCCAAGUGGUAAGGCAUCAGGUUUUGGUCCUGACAUUCAGAGGUUCGAAUCCUUUUACCCCAGCCA
This 75-nucleotide transfer RNA is filed under the name Helicobacter bizzozeronii. Its description in RNAcentral is "tRNA-Gln". It matches the Rfam family "tRNA". Rfam says of the family: Transfer RNA (tRNA) molecules are approximately 80 nucleotides in length. Their secondary structure includes four short double-helical elements and three loops (D, anti-codon, and T loops). Further hydrogen bonds mediate the characteristic L-shaped molecular structure. tRNAs have two regions of fundamental functional importance: the anti-codon, which is responsible for specific mRNA codon recognition, and the 3' end, to which the tRNAs corresponding amino acid is attached (by aminoacyl-tRNA synthetases). tRNAs cope with the degeneracy of the genetic code in two manners: having more than one tRNA (with a specific anti-codon) for a particular amino acid; and 'wobble' base-pairing, i.e. permitting non-standard base-pairing at the 3rd anti-codon position. Lineage: Bacteria; Pseudomonadati; Campylobacterota; Epsilonproteobacteria; Campylobacterales; Helicobacteraceae. The record is from RNAcentral.